This 724-nucleotide long non-coding RNA is filed under the name Equus caballus (horse). Its description in RNAcentral is "lncRNA (ENSECAG00000041942.2)". Lineage: Eukaryota; Metazoa; Chordata; Mammalia; Perissodactyla; Equidae. The record is from RNAcentral.
AUCUGCAGAAGCCAAAUGAGGAAAUUAUGAUGAAAUAUUUGACCUACAUCGGGAAAUGUCAAUUAAAAUAAGGUACACUUGCCUGAUGCAUAUGGAGACUGAAGUAGCAGUAAUUUUCCAGCUUCUCGUUCUACUAGUUACCAACCAGCUCUACGAGCAAAAACAUCUGGGAAGCCAGAUACCAUUGGUAGAACAGGUUUUGUUUCUUUUUAUUUCCAGAAGUGCUCUAAAAUUCAUGCUCCGAAAAUCGCCAGAGGAAAAGAAUACGGGUUUGUAGUGAAAAUCUCUCUUUCACAAGAAAAGGCAUUAGAGAUAAAUUUCUUGAUUUUCCCCUGUGUUUGAUCUCCAUACAACUGACAUCCUUGUUUACGUGAUGGCUUCAGCAAGGCAUGAAUUUCGGAGUUUCAGUCACUCAUGUGUGGUUUAUGUUAACUUCCUAGACUGAGUUCAAUAUGUCAUCUCCGAAGAGAUGGGGCCUCUCCCUUUAGGUAGAAAAUUUAAGUGAUAUCAGCCCCUCCUACGUGUCUAAGGCAAAGGGGAGAAGAAGAGCUCUGUGCAGUCUGCCACGGAGCAUUUCAGGUCACAAAAGUAGAAGGAAGUGCUGCCGAGAUCCCCCAGCAUGUUGGCCUUCUCUGACGUGACGUUUUAUGCAAGUUUUGCAGAAGGGAAGGAAAAGCAUGACCUGGUUGAGCUGAGACCUGCCAAACUCAGAGUGACAUUGAAA